Non-coding RNA from Podarcis lilfordi (Lilford's wall lizard), 70 nucleotides. Lineage: Eukaryota; Metazoa; Chordata; Lepidosauria; Squamata; Lacertidae. The record is from the annotation of a GenBank genome assembly.
GGCCAUAGCUUUGCGACAGAGCAUCAGCUUUGCAUGCAGAAGGUCCUUGGUUCAAAUCCUGGCAUCUCCA